This 356-nucleotide long non-coding RNA is filed under the name Theobroma cacao (cacao). RNAcentral describes it as "long non-coding RNA (TCAC_LNC004381)". The record is from RNAcentral. Lineage: Eukaryota; Viridiplantae; Streptophyta; Magnoliopsida; Malvales; Malvaceae.
GGAGAUACCCUGCGCGCCUCUCCGUUCGAGGUAAUAAUAUAAUGGAGUUUACCGUGCCCCUCUAAUAGGUUGGUCCACUGAACCCCCUCUGCAGUAAAUAAUUAAUAUAUAAUCCACCAAUCAAUAAAAUUCAUUCUAGCAGGACAUGGCAAUUUAUCGUAACCUAGCCUCUCAAGGCUGAAUACACAGUAUAAAUAAUUCUAACACCAAAAUCAAUUUAGCCAUUCAUGCUCAUUUAUUGUCAUAAGCCAUUCAAUUUAAAACCAUAAAUUUACAACACAAGCAGGAAGUCUCUAAUUACUCUAUUUUCAAAACCAGUAUUCGAUUUUCCAGAAAAUUUAUAAAAUUACAAUUUC